AGGAUAAACGCUGGCGGCGUGCAUGAGACAUGCAAGUCGAACGGACGAUCAGGGCUUGCUCUGAUCGUUAGUGGCGGACGGCUGAGUAACGCGUAGGUGACCUGCCCCGAAGUGGGGAAUAACUGCCCGAAAGGGUGGCUAAUACCGCAUGUGGUGGUGUGUUCAUUCACACCAGUAAAGCCGCAAGGCGCUUCGGGAGGGGCCUGCGUCCGAUUAGCUCGUUGGUGGGUAACGGCUCACCAAGGCGACGAUCGGUAGGUGGUCUGAGAGGACGAUCACCCAGACUGGGACUGAGACACGGCCCAGACUCCUACGGGAGGCAGCAGUCGGGAAUUUUGCGCAAUGGACGAAAGUCUGACGCAGCAACGCCGCGUGAGGGAUGAAGGCCUUCGGGUUGUAAACCGUCUUUUAUCAGGGAAGAUAAUGACGGUACCUGAUGAAUAAGUCACGGCUAACUACGUGCCAGCAGCCGC
RNAcentral lists this ribosomal RNA (473 nucleotides) under uncultured bacterium. Its description in RNAcentral is "SSU rRNA". It matches the Rfam family "Bacterial small subunit ribosomal RNA", at positions 26 to 518 of the family's 1533-position model. The record is from RNAcentral.